GUAGGUGAACCUGCGGAGGGAUCAUUAACAUCCAACUAUAUGUAUAUAUGGAAGGUACCUUUCGUGGGUACCCGAUAUAUAUAUGUAUAUACACACACUCGUGAACUCUAUACAAUUUACAUACUCUGUGAACUAUAUAUUUUAUACAAACAUACUAAUUUCUCAAUCACUCCACGCAAUGGAUAUCUUGGUUCUC
RNAcentral lists this unclassified non-coding RNA (196 nucleotides) under rhizosphere metagenome. RNAcentral describes it as "partial ribosomal RNA internal transcribed spacer region". The record is from RNAcentral.